Molecule: ribosomal RNA, 344 nt
Filed under: Spirinia parasitifera
Lineage: Eukaryota; Metazoa; Nematoda; Chromadorea; Desmodorida; Desmodoridae
Also listed under: 1 other name
Description: SSU rRNA
Rfam family: Eukaryotic small subunit ribosomal RNA
Source: RNAcentral
CGCGAAUGGCUCAUUACAACAGCCGUUGUUUCUUGGAUCUUGAUUUACUUGGAUAACUGUGGUAAUUCUAGAGCUAAUACAUGUGAAAAAGCUCCAACCUUACGGAAGGAGUGCAUUUAUUAGACCAAGACCAAUCAGGCUUUGCCUGUAAUCUGGUGACUCUGAAUAACUUUGCUGAUCACACGGUCCUAGCACCGGUGACAUAUCUUUCAAGUGUCUGCCCUAUCAACUUUCGAUGGUAGUUUACGUGCCUACCAUGGUUGUAACGGGUAACGGAGAAUAAGGGUUCGACUCCGGAGAGGGAGCCUGAGAAAUGGCUACCACAUCCAAGGAAGGCAGCAGGC